AUACACUAGAAGACUCUGACAAGACUAAGUUUUAUGACCACCUUAAACCAAACGAUGGAGACGACGGCAGCGCCCCGACUCUAGCAAGACUCCAGUCUGCAACGGUGGAGUCUCUUGAAAGUUCGGCAUAAAAGAUGAUAUCGUAAAGUGGACUAGCUACAUGUGCAUGCUAGGGUCUGACCAUAGACAGUAUAUAAGGUCUCACUGACAUGCCAUUAUGCUAAGAUGCUAAGAUGCUAACAGUGGGUCCUGCAGCGGCGGGGGAUUUGCUGAGAAACUUUUCUGCUGUUUGUGACAAUGAUGUGACCCAGUUGUGACCGCAGAGCUUUAUUCAGCUCAACAUGUUAGAACCGGUUCAGGUAUGGCCAUAUUCAGGAGCCCAGAGGGACCAGGGAGACCCGGGACUGGUUCUAUGUUGAACUGAACGAGCUGUGAAGUUGAACCGAGUUGAUUAAGGACUUCAAGGCGACAGGUCACGGCAGUUUCCUGCGGCCACGCUAUGACGACCAGCCACGCUCGCCUCACGCAUGAGGCGGUUCUAAAUCUGCAAUGGAAAAAGGAGGACGGGCCACCGCGGUCGAGUCGUGUCGAGUCGAGCCGAGCCGAGCAGGACUUUAUUGUACAGGACAGAUGCAGAUGUUAAAGGGGGGAGAGAGAGAGAGAAUGACAUGCAGCAAAGGGCCGCAGGUCGGGAUCGAACCCACAGCCGCUGCAUCAAGGACUGAGCCUUAGUACAUGGGGCGCACGCUCAGCCAGCUCCACUUUCUAUAAUGUGCCUGGAAAGAAUGAAACGUCCUGCAGUCGGUGAAGAGGCGCCUGCAGGUAACAGACUGCUCACCACAGGAGGAUUUUAAAGGGUGUGUAAAAGGGAGAUUUUCAGCCGGAGAAGGAUCCCACGGCAGCACCUGGCCCACAGUGAACUCCCAGCAGCGUAAAUCCAACUAUCUUCAGCCACACAGCCCGUGGCAGCUGUUGCACCAGGCACAUUUCCAAAAAGGAGAGACAGGCGGAGAAAAAUGCGAGAGAAAGAGCGAACAAAGAGUCUUGUCCUGCCAACACAUCUCAGCUUCAACAUUCCCAAACACAUCUGACCGUCAGUAAUUCCACUGCUGUUUUCCGGAGCUGAAUGGUUUCUCGACUCGGUGUAAAAGUUGGCGCCCGGUGUAUGUGUGUGUGUGUGUGUGUGUGUGUGUGUCAUAGUGAGAGGCCACAGCAAGGCCGGGGUAAGAGGAGUGACACAAGGCUGCACUGUUUAGACCCCCGGGCCUCCGCUGUUUUAUGUGCCAAGACUCGACCUUUGUGUGCCGACCACACCGAUCUGUUACUGCAGCUUCUGUUCAGUCCGGAGCUCACUCACUCACACAAUCACUGCAUGGUUUUAUAUAAAAUAAAGCCAUCUCACUGCCCAUCCCUUGCGUUCCAUUUUGGACAAAAAAAGGAGGUUUAAUUUCUCAACUAUAUUUACUCGUCCGUUCUACUUCCUAUGAAGGUCUCCCAAUUGUACGUGUAUGAUACGACUAAGGAACUGAGGCUGCAUCUACACUAAUUCUUUUCAUUUUUUAAGCGGCGUUUUGAGACAAAAACAACCUCCGUCCACACAAGAGUUUUAGCUCCAGCAGCAGAACUAAUCUCCGUGCGUAUUAACACGCCUAACAACAUGUAUCACAUGACCAUUCACACACACUGGGCAUGUGCGUGCCGGUGUAAACCCGAAAGCAGAUCGUCUGAUGUUACUCUGCGGUUGUAAAUCAUGGAUGUGGAAGUUGAAAAUACAGAAAAUACUUUGGAGAAAGAACAACGGUAAUAAGUAAGAGCAGGGAUGUAUUAUCUUAGAGCGAAGACGAGGUGGAACUGUUACUGAAAGGUCUGUAAGCUACCUAACUGAUAAGGUCUCCGUUUGUGCCCGUCAAGACUAGAACACGAUCGAUAAAGGAUUUUUAAG
Long non-coding RNA from Perca fluviatilis (European perch), 1942 nucleotides. RefSeq lists it as uncharacterized. The transcript is spliced from 4 exons. NCBI's taxonomy places the organism in Eukaryota, Metazoa, Chordata, Actinopteri, Perciformes, Percidae. The record is from RefSeq and is a predicted model, not a curated record.